CCUACGGGUGGCUGCAGUGGGGAAUAUUGGACAAUGGGGGCAACCCUGAUCCAGCCAUGCCGCGUGUGUGAAGAAGGCCCUCGGGUUGUAAAGCACUUUCAGUGAGGAAGAACGCCUGGUGGUUAAUACCCAUCAGGAAAGACAUCACUCACAGAAGAAGCACCGGCUAACUCCGUGCCAGCAGCCGCGGUAAUACGGAGGGUGCGAGCGUUAAUCGGAAUUACUGGGCGUAAAGCGCGCGUAGGUGGCUUGAUAAGCCGGUUGUGAAAGCCCCGGGCUCAACCUGGGAACGGCAUCCGGAACUGUCAAGCUAGAGUGCAGGAGAGGAAGGUCGAAUUCCCGGUGUAGCGGUGAAAUGCGUAGAGAUCGGGAGGAAUACCAGUGGCGAAGGCGGCCUUCUGGACUGACACUGACACUGAGGUGCGAAAGCGUGGGUAGCAAACAGGAUUAGAUACCCGUGUAGUC
RNAcentral lists this ribosomal RNA (465 nucleotides) under Vreelandella stevensii. RNAcentral describes it as "partial 16S ribosomal RNA". It matches the Rfam family "Bacterial small subunit ribosomal RNA", at positions 338 to 795 of the family's 1533-position model. Lineage: Bacteria; Pseudomonadati; Pseudomonadota; Gammaproteobacteria; Oceanospirillales; Halomonadaceae. The record is from RNAcentral.